Molecule: ribosomal RNA, 523 nt
Filed under: uncultured bacterium
Lineage: Bacteria
Description: partial 16S ribosomal RNA
Rfam family: Bacterial small subunit ribosomal RNA
Source: RNAcentral
UGGGGAAUAUUGCACAAUGGGCGAAAGCCUGAUGCAGCAACGCCGCGUGAGUGAUGAAGGUCUUCGGAUUGUAAAGCUCUGUCUUUUGGGACGAUAAUGACGGUACCAAGGAGGAAGCCACGGCUAACUACGUGCCAGCAGCCGCGGUAAUACGUAGGUGGCGAGCGUUGUCCGGAUUUACUGGGCGUAAAGGGUGCGUAGGCGGAUGUUUAAGUGAGAUGUGAAAUACCCGGGCUUAACUUGGGUGCUGCAUUUCAAACUGGAUAUCUAGAGUGCAGGAGAGGAGAAUGGAAUUCCUAGUGUAGCGGUGAAAUGCGUAGAGAUUAGGAAGAACACCAGUGGCGAAGGCGAUUCUCUGGACUGUAACUGACGCUGAGGCACGAAAGCGUGGGUAGCAAACAGGAUUAGAUACCCUGGUAGUCCACGCCGUAAACGAUGAGUACUAGGUGUAGGAGGUAUCGACCCCUUCUGUGCCGCAGUAAACACAUUAAGUACUCCGCCUGGGAAGUACGAUCGCAAGAUU